UUUUCCUUUCCCCAGCUCCUCCUGGAGCUUCCCCACUUCUGAUGCCCAUGUGCUGGGCACUUGCGUCAGGGCUUGGUUCUGGGUCCGCUUGUCUCUUUGCUCCCGGUGUCUGGCUAUUCCCCUCAGACCAUGCCUUUAGAUGCCAUUUACAAUGUACACUUUAGCUUUCUGGCAUGUUCACAGAUACGUGCACCUAUCACCACAGUCAGUUUUAGAACAUUUUUAUCACCUCCAAAGGAAGCCCGCACCCUACCGCUAGCUAGAGGCACACGUUGGCAGUCACAUAUUGUUGAAUGCAUUAAUAAUACAUGCUUUUCUUCUUUUCCCUUUCUUGCUCGCUUUCCAGGUUGUUUUUGGUACUGUUGAUAACACUGUGGUGAACAUCUUUAGGCCUUUGGCUUUUUUUAGCAGGAGAGAGUUUUCAUCAGGAGGGGGCCUCCUGGGUCAGCCUUUUUGGGUGUUGUGAUUGCUGCUGAGACACUGUGGAUGCGGCCACAGCAGGGCUGCUAAUUCAGUGUGUGCAGGACGCUGCCGUCCUUUUCUAAUUUGCGUUUUCUUGGUGACUUGCAAGGUUGGAUUUUUUUCUGCAGGUUUGUUUGUUGUAUCUCUUUUAUGUGAAGUUCUUUUCCAGUCUUCUGAUUGCUUCCUCCCUCCUGCUCAUUUGACUGUCACUGAAACUUAGUUGGGGUUUUGUGGGGCAGAUGGUGUCCUGCCAUUGUGCUUUGUGAUGUGAAUGAAGUGGUCUGCCCACAGUCACCCAGUUAUCCAGUCAGCUGUGAGUGGCAGAGCAGCAGGACCCCUGGCCUCCCAGCGCCUCAGAAAGGGGGAAACACUUGCCAUGACACCUUUGACUGACAUUUUGUUUAGUUGUCAUGAAAAGACACCCAUUGAACACUGAACCUGGAACAAUUUCAAAACAGCCUUUGACUAGAGGACUUAAGGAGAAGGAAGAAGUACCACCUUGAAAAUUAUGAGAAAGCUGUAAAAAUCACUGUAUUCGUCACAGUUCUAGAGAUAUACAUGUACACCAUUAAAGAGAAAUUAUUCUGACACUUGUUAAAA
Non-coding RNA from Macaca mulatta (Rhesus monkey), 1062 nucleotides. NCBI's taxonomy places the organism in Eukaryota, Metazoa, Chordata, Mammalia, Primates, Cercopithecidae. The record is from RefSeq and is a predicted model, not a curated record.